GAUGAACGCUGGCGGCGUGCCUAAUACAUGCAAGUCGAGCGAACGGACGAGAAUCUUGCUUCUCUGAUGUUAGCGGCGGACGGGUGAGUAACACGUGGAUAACCUACCUAUAAGACUGGGAUAACUUCUGGAAACCGGAGCUUAUACCUGAUAAUAUUUUGAACCGCAUGGUUCAAAAUUUAAAGACGGUCUUGCUGUUACUUAUUGAUGAAUCCGCGCUGCAUUAGCUAGUUGUUAAGGUAACGGUUUACUAAGGCAACGAUGCAUAGCCGACCUGAGAGGGUGAUCGGCCACACUGGAACUGAGACACGGUCCAGACUCCUACGGGAGGCAGCAGUAGGGAAUCUUCCGCAAUGGGCGAAAGCGUGACGGAGCAACGCCGCGUGAGUGAUGAAGGUCUUCGGAUCGUAAAACUCUGUUAUUAGGGAAGAACAUAUGUGUAAGUAACUGUGCACAUCUUGACGGUACCUAAUCAGAAAGCCACGGCUAACUACGUG
This 497-nucleotide ribosomal RNA is filed under the name uncultured bacterium. Its description in RNAcentral is "partial 16S ribosomal RNA". It matches the Rfam family "Bacterial small subunit ribosomal RNA", at positions 28 to 507 of the family's 1533-position model. The record is from RNAcentral.